Molecule: long non-coding RNA, 220 nt
Filed under: Glycine max (soybean)
Lineage: Eukaryota; Viridiplantae; Streptophyta; Magnoliopsida; Fabales; Fabaceae
Description: long non-coding RNA (GMAX_LNC003557)
Source: RNAcentral
UGGGUCCCGCAAGGCCAGGGCUAGGGCUCCCUCCGAUGCUUCCACCUCAGCUCCUGCUCCCACACCAACACUAGUACCAGCUCUAGCACCUCCAGCACCAGCCGACCCUUCCAUGCAGAGCACAAAUGCCAUAGUGUCAAUGUUGCAGAGCCUUCACCACAGCCUUUGCCUGGUGAUGUAGAGUAUUCAUUAUUUAGCUUAGUAGAGGCCGAUCAUCAAC